GUCUGCUAGCUUAAGGGUUAAAGCGUCCCCUCCACAAGCUAAUUUCAUUAAGUUGGUUUGUGAAGGUGAGAUUGUUGGUUCGAUUCCAACAGCAGACACCA
RNAcentral lists this transfer RNA (101 nucleotides) under Thiotrichales bacterium HSG1. RNAcentral's name for it is "tRNA-OTHER". It matches the Rfam family "tRNA". Rfam says of the family: Transfer RNA (tRNA) molecules are approximately 80 nucleotides in length. Their secondary structure includes four short double-helical elements and three loops (D, anti-codon, and T loops). Lineage: Bacteria; Pseudomonadati; Pseudomonadota; Gammaproteobacteria; Thiotrichales. RNAcentral also lists the same sequence under 1 other name. The record is from RNAcentral.